RNAcentral lists this transfer RNA (75 nucleotides) under Cytophagia bacterium. Its description in RNAcentral is "tRNA-Glu". It matches the Rfam family "tRNA". Rfam says of the family: Transfer RNA (tRNA) molecules are approximately 80 nucleotides in length. Lineage: Bacteria; Pseudomonadati; Bacteroidota; Cytophagia. The record is from RNAcentral.
GCCGCCAUCGUCUAACGGUUAGGACAUAUCCCUUUCACGGAUGUAAUCGGGGUUCGAUUCCCCGUGGUGGUACCA